RNAcentral lists this ribosomal RNA (110 nucleotides) under Nannospalax galili (Upper Galilee mountains blind mole rat). The record is from RNAcentral. Lineage: Eukaryota; Metazoa; Chordata; Mammalia; Rodentia; Spalacidae.
GUCUAUGACCAUACCACCCUGAACAUACCUGGUCUUGUCUGAUCUCUGAAGCCAAGCAGGGUCAGGCCUGGUUAGUACUUGGAUGGGAGAAAAGAUUAGGGACUUGGGAU